RNAcentral lists this ribosomal RNA (472 nucleotides) under Lobofemora sp. SB0399. Its description in RNAcentral is "partial large subunit ribosomal RNA". Lineage: Eukaryota; Metazoa; Arthropoda; Insecta; Phasmatodea; Phasmatidae. The record is from RNAcentral.
UCCUGAAUUCGAAAGGGAUCGGAGUCAGCUGUAUCCGAACUCAGGCUGCCCCCUGCCAGAUGGCCCCGGUCGCCCGCAGGCGAUUCACUUCGCUUGCGGUGUCGUUCCCGGGGCUCCUGCGGGGUGGUGUACCGCUCUGAGAUUAAAACGGUGCGGCGCAUUUCCUCCCUAGUAGAAACGUCGCGACCCGUUGGGUGGCGGUCUAAGGCCCGGGCAGGCAGCCCGCGCGUCCCGGGGCGGGUGAUACCGUCGCGGUCGCGCGGACGUCCGGUGACCCGGCCGGUCGCCCGACGGUACGACCAGAGGAGUCGAUCCGCUGAAAAUAAGUGAGAUGCGUCCGGCCCUCCGCCGACGCGAGGGGGAUGGUCCGCCAGGCGUUUCGGAACCAUUCCUGUCUCGUCGUCGGUCGCGAGGUGUCCUCGGACCGGAUCAGCACUCCUGUCGGCGACGCCCACCUUCGGAUGGUCUCCCG